GAGCCAGACUCCUACGGGAGGUAGCAGUGAGGAAUAUUGGUCAAUGGUCGGGAGACUGAACCAGCCAAGCCGCGUGAGGGAGGAAGGUACAGAGUAUCGUAAACCUCUUUUGUCAGGGGACAAAGACUGGGACGCGUCCCCGGAUGAGUGUACCUGAAGAAAAAGCAUCGGCUAACUCCGUGCCAGCAGCCGCGGUAAUACGGAGGAUGCGAGCGUUAUCCGGAUUUAUUGGGUUUAAAGGGUGCGCAGGCGGUCCGUUAAGUCGGCGGUAAAAUCGCGGGGCUCACCCCCGCUCCGCCGUUGAAACUGUGUCCCUUGAGUGCGCGAAGGGUAGGCGGAAUGCGUGGUGUAGCGGUGAAAUGCAUAGAUAUCACGCAGAACUCCGAUCGCGAAGGCAGCCUACCGGCGCGCUACUGACGCUCAUGCACGAAAGCGUGGGUAUCGAACAGGAUUAGAUACCCUCGUA
This 466-nucleotide ribosomal RNA is filed under the name uncultured bacterium. RNAcentral's name for it is "bacterial SSU rRNA". It matches the Rfam family "Bacterial small subunit ribosomal RNA", at positions 328 to 792 of the family's 1533-position model. The record is from RNAcentral.